AGUGAACGCUGGCGGUAGGCCUAACACAUGCAAGUCGAACCGCAGCACAGUAAGAGCUUGCUCUUACGGGUGGCGAGUGGCGGACGGGUGAGGAAUACAUCGGAAUCUACUUUUUCGUGGGGGAUAACGUAGGGAAACUUACGCUAAUACCGCAUACGACCUACGGGUGAAAGCAGGGGAUCUUCGGACCUUGCGCGAUUGAAUGAGCCGAUGUCGGAUUAGCUAGUUGGCGGGGUAAAGGCCCACCAAGGCGACGAUCCGUAGCUGGUCUGAGAGGAUGAUCAGCCACACUGGAACUGAGACACGGUCCAGACUCCUACGGGAGGCAGCAGUGGGGAAUAUUGGACAAAGGGCGCAAGCCUGAUCCAGCCAUACCGCGUGGGUGAAGAAGGCCUUCGGGUUGUAAAGCCCUUUUGUUGGGAAAGAAAAGCAGCAGGUUAAUACCCCGCUGUUCUGACGGUACCCAAAGAAUAAGCACCGGCUAACUUCGUG
RNAcentral lists this ribosomal RNA (492 nucleotides) under uncultured bacterium. RNAcentral's name for it is "partial 16S ribosomal RNA". It matches the Rfam family "Bacterial small subunit ribosomal RNA", at positions 29 to 507 of the family's 1533-position model. The record is from RNAcentral.